UGGGGGAUAUUGCACAAUGGGCGAAAGCCUGAUGCAGCGACGCCGCGUGGGGGAUGAAGGCUUUCGGGUUGUAAACCUCUUUCGCUAUCGAACAAGGCCCGCUUAGGGUGGGUUGAGGGUAGGUGGAGAAGAAGCGCCGGCUAACUACGUGCCAGCAGCCGCGGUAAUACGUAGGGCGCGAGCGUUGUCCGGAAUUAUUGGGCGUAAAGGGCUUGUAGGCGGCUUGUUGCGCCUGCUGUGAAAACGCGGGGCUUAACUUCGCGCGUGCAGUGGGUACGGGCAGGCUUGAGUGUGGUAGGGGUAACUGGAAUUCCAGGUGUAGCGGUGGAAUGCGCAGAUAUCUGGAGGAACACCGAUGGCGAAGGCAGGUCACUGGGCCAUUACUGACGCUGAGGAGCGAAAGCAUGGGUAGCGAACAGG
Molecule: ribosomal RNA, 420 nt
Filed under: bacterium
Lineage: Bacteria
Description: partial 16S ribosomal RNA
Rfam family: Bacterial small subunit ribosomal RNA
Source: RNAcentral